This 305-nucleotide ribosomal RNA is filed under the name uncultured bacterium. RNAcentral describes it as "bacterial SSU rRNA". It matches the Rfam family "Bacterial small subunit ribosomal RNA", at positions 337 to 634 of the family's 1533-position model. The record is from RNAcentral.
GCCUACGGGGGGCAGCAGUAGGGAAUCUUCCACAAUGGGCGAAAGCCUGAUGGAGCAACGCCGCGUGGGUGAAGAAGGUCUUCGGAUCGUAAAACCCUGUUGUUAGAGAAGAAAGUGCGUGAGAGUAACUGUUCACGUUUCGACGGUAUCUAACCAGAAAGCCACGGCUAACUACGUGCCAGCAGCCGCGGUAAUACGUAGGUGGCAAGCGUUAUCCGGAUUUAUUGGGCGUAAAGGGAACGCAAGCGGUCUUUUAAGUCUGAUGUGAAAGCCUUCGGCUUAACCGGAGUAGUGCAUUGGAAACU